UACAGAGGGUGCGAGCGUUAAUCGGAAUUACUGGGCGUAAAGCGUGCGUAGACGGCUAUCUAAGUCGGGUGUGAAAGCCCCGGGCUCAACCUGGGAAUUGCAUUCGAGACUGAAUAGCUAGGGUACGGUAGAGGGAAGCGGAAUUUCCGGUGUAGCGGUGAAAUGCGUAGAUAUCGGAAGGAACAUCAGUGGCGAAAGCGGCUUCCUGGUCCAGCACCGACGUUCAGGCACGAAAGCGUGGGGAGCAAACAGG
This 253-nucleotide ribosomal RNA is filed under the name uncultured bacterium. RNAcentral describes it as "partial 16S ribosomal RNA". It matches the Rfam family "Bacterial small subunit ribosomal RNA", at positions 524 to 776 of the family's 1533-position model. The record is from RNAcentral.